GUGUCAGCCGCCGCGGUAAGACGUAGGGGGCGAGCGUUGUCCGGAUUUAUUGGGCGUAAAGAGCUCGUAGGCGGCUCAGAAAGUCGGGUGUGAAACCUCCAGGCUCAACCUGGAGACGCCACCUGAUACUGCUGUGGCUAGAGUCCGGUAGGGGAACACGGAAUACCCGGUGUAGCGGUGAAAUGCUUAGAUAUCGGGUGGAACACCAGUGGCGAAGGCGGUGUUCUGGGCCGGAACUGACGCUGAGGAGCGAAAGCGUGGGUAGCAAACAGGAUUAGAUACCCCUGUAGUCC
This 293-nucleotide ribosomal RNA is filed under the name uncultured bacterium. RNAcentral's name for it is "partial 16S ribosomal RNA". It matches the Rfam family "Bacterial small subunit ribosomal RNA", at positions 505 to 796 of the family's 1533-position model. The record is from RNAcentral.